AGUGUAGGCGGCUACUUAAGUCGGAUGUGAAAGCCCCGGGCUCAACCUGGGAAUUGCAUUCGAAACUGGGUAGCUAGAGUUUGGUAGAGGUAAGUGGAAUUCCGGGUGUAGCGGUGAAAUGCGUAGAUAUCCGGAGGAACCUCAGUGGCGAAGGCAGCUUACUGGACCAAAACUGACGCUGAGGCUCGAAAGCGUGGGGAGCAAACAGGAUUAGAUACCCUGGUAGUCC
Molecule: ribosomal RNA, 229 nt
Filed under: uncultured bacterium
Lineage: Bacteria
Description: partial 16S ribosomal RNA
Rfam family: Bacterial small subunit ribosomal RNA
Source: RNAcentral